RNAcentral lists this ribosomal RNA (420 nucleotides) under uncultured bacterium. RNAcentral describes it as "bacterial SSU rRNA". It matches the Rfam family "Bacterial small subunit ribosomal RNA", at positions 355 to 774 of the family's 1533-position model. The record is from RNAcentral.
UAAGGAAUAUUGCUCAAUGGGAGAAAUCCUGAAGCAGCAACGCCGCGUGGAGGAUGAAGGGUCUAUGACUUGUAAACUCCUGUAAAGAAGGAAAAAAUUCCCAUUAGAUGGGAGAUGAUGGUACUUCUGGAGUAAGCCCCGGCUAACUACGUGCCAGCAGCCGCGGUAAUACGUAGGGGGCAAGCGUUGUCCGGAUUUACUGGGUGUAAAGGGCGCGCAGGCGGGAUAAAAAGUCAUUGGUGAAAUCCUACAGCUUAACUGUAGAACUGCCUUUGAUACUUUUAUUCUUGAGUUCGGGAGAGAGAGACGGAAUUCCAGGUGUACUGUUGAAAUACGUAGAUACCUGGAAGAACACCAGUUGCGAAGGCGGUCUCUUGGUCCGACACUGACGCUGAGGCGCGAAAGCGUGGGGAGCAAACA